UACGGGGGGGAGCAAGCGUUGUUCGGAUUUACUGGGCGUAAAGGGCGCGUAGGCGGUCGUGACAAGUCACUUGUGAAAUCUCCGGGCUUAACUCGGAACGGUCAAGUGAUACUGUCGGACUAGAGUACAGAAGGGGCAACUGGAAUUCUCGGUGUAGCGGUGAAAUGCGUAGAGAUCAUGAGGAAGACCAGUGGCGAAGGCGGGUCUCUGGACAGUUCCUGACACUGAGGCACGAAGGCCAGGGGAGCAAACGGG
This 255-nucleotide ribosomal RNA is filed under the name uncultured bacterium. RNAcentral describes it as "partial 16S ribosomal RNA". It matches the Rfam family "Bacterial small subunit ribosomal RNA", at positions 524 to 776 of the family's 1533-position model. The record is from RNAcentral.